CAUAGCUCGAGGCGCACUCCGUUGAAAGUGUAUAGGUGGCGCUAUAGAGCCAUUCUGCCACACCCGGUGGAAUAUUGGCCUGCAGAUCUGUUCAGGCCAGGACUCUUAUCACACAUGUGAAGUUUGGGGAAGAUCGGACAUUUUAUGCCUGAGUUAUAACAUCUUUUUUUCGCAUGGCGAGACAUCGAACUUCGUCGCGGCGCCAUGAACAAGCCUUUUAACGAAAACUCAAGAUCUUCACAACUGAACAUCGCACAGGCCUUUAGAUUAGACUGACCACAAAAAAGACAUUGAUGUCAUAAAAUUUCUAGGAGUAGUUCGUCGCAGCAUAAAAUAUGUCACUUCCUGUUGCCAAUAGGUGGCGCUAUGACUAUAACUGAAUAUGGGCAUGUCAAUCUGUUCAGGUUCGGAGUCUCAUCAAACAUGUGAAGUUUGGGGCAGAUUGGACAUUGUAUGUGUGAGUUAUAGCAACUUCAUUUUUCAUGGCGAAUCAUCGAAAUUCGCCAGGCCGCCACGGACACGCCCUUCAACGAAAACUCAAGAUCUUCGCAAUUUAACAUCGCAAAGGCCUUUAGAUUAGGCAUACCAAAUUUGGUGUUGAUUUGAAGAACUCUCUAGGAGGAGUUCGUUAAAAUACAACACAUGGAAAUGACCAAAAUUACACAAAAUAUGCUCAUAAUAUUAAAAAUAACCGACUUCCUGUUGGGUUUAGAAUUUCGCUCCAAGAGUCUUUUUUGUAGGUAUUGGUGUGUUACAUAUGUGUGCCAAUUUUCGUGCAUGUACGUGAAACAUAGCUGGAAGGCUGUUGAUUUCCUUGGUAUAGGUGGCGCUGUCGAGCCAUUUUGCCACACCCUCUUCUGAAUCCUAUAUCAGACGAAAAUUUUCACCAGGUUUGACGCGUGUGCAAAGUUUCAUGACUUUUUGAGCAUGUUAAAGCCCUCAAAAAUGCGAUUCAUUCGGGAGAAGAAGAAGAAGAAUAAUAAUAAAUAUAGCUGCAAGCAGCGAUGGCGGGCUCAAGCC
Carassius gibelio (silver crucian carp) is the source of this 1020-nucleotide long non-coding RNA. RefSeq lists it as uncharacterized. The record is from RefSeq and is a predicted model, not a curated record. Lineage: Eukaryota; Metazoa; Chordata; Actinopteri; Cypriniformes; Cyprinidae. The transcript has 3 exons.